This 327-nucleotide ribosomal RNA is filed under the name marine sediment bacterium BB0608_2216_4.1_5S0. RNAcentral describes it as "bacterial SSU rRNA". It matches the Rfam family "Bacterial small subunit ribosomal RNA", at positions 76 to 405 of the family's 1533-position model. The record is from RNAcentral.
CUUGCUUAUCCGCCGGCGACCGGCGCACGGGUGCGCAACGCGUAUAGAAUCUGCCCUGUACUGGGGAAUAGCCCAGAGAAAUUUGGAUUAAUGCCCCAUGGUAUGUAUUAGCGGCAUCGCUUAUACAUUAAAGGCUACGGUACAGGAUGACUAUGCGUCCCAUUAGUUAGUUGGUAAGGUAACGGCUUACCAAGGCAGCGAUGGGUAGGGGCCCUGAGAGGGGGAUCCCCCACACUGGUACUGAGACACGGACCAGACUCCUACGGGAGGCAGCAGUGAGGAAUAUUGGACAAUGGGCGGGAGCCUGAUCCAGCCAUGCCGCGUGCA